AUGAAGAAAGAAGAAAAGAGUAGUUGCCUGACCACACGAGCUAUUAUCCACUCUCCACCGGUAUCUCCAAGUAAAAAGAGGAAGAGCACCGAGCCACCGUUCUCCCCUCGCCGAAAGAAACUUAAGACUAUGCUUGUGGACGCAGACAAAAUAGAAUUGUUGAGUUCUGAGGUCAUACCAAACACUGAAUUUGAGAAUUCUAAUGACUCAGACUCAGAAGUUACAAAAACAGCAAAUGACAGGGUAAAAAGCAAGGGAAAGAGUCCGAAGAAGUGGUCCAUGAGGGUUAAAUUAGCUGUACAAAGCCCAUCAAAACCAACAGUUACAGAUAGCAAAAGUCCAGAAAGCAGUCCUGAAAGCAAGGUCAAAAGAAAAUUAUUCGGCAGUCAGCAGAAGUCUCACGUUAAGGAUUCAGAUGAGGGCAGCAGUGGCAGCACUGAUUCACAUGACGUUGAAGUUAUUGAGGAGAAGGCCUCUUGUCCCAAGGUCAAAGGCAGUGAAGUUGAGAAGGUAUCCAAUGCAUCCAAAGAUGAAUCAGCAAAAACCUCCGCCAGCACUGUCAAGGAAAGUGAAACACCAAAACCGCCAGUUAAGUUGGCUUCAAUUUUUUUGAAAAAGAGCACUCCGAAAGUGAAUACAUCUAAUUCCACUUCAGCAGAUUCGCCAAUAGUCAUAGAUGAUGAAUCGCUUCAAGCAAAGAAGGAAUUUCUAUCCAGUGGCGUUCCUGAUAUAAUUAAGCAGAAGACUGAACUGUUGAAGGCUCAGGAAAAAUCUGAAGAAGAGUAUUAUGUUCCAUUUCCGAAGAUAAGUCAUGUUGGGUACGACAAUACCUUGUCUCAAGAAAAUGCUUCGCUGGAACUAGGCAAAUCCUUUAAACUGAGACCAGACGUAGACUUAUUGGAAAUUGUGAAUGACAGUUUGAAGAAACCUUGGAAAAACUUGAUCGACCCUGCUGUCCAUGCCCCAAUGCUGAAUGAAAACAUUUCAUGGCCCAAAUGCAAUGAUAGUAAGAGACAGACUCGGUGUCUAAAGAAGCAGGUAAUGAUCUUUACUUUGUGGAACAUUCUUCUCAUCAGUCUCUUAUUCAAUCGUGUUUAA
Molecule: long non-coding RNA, 1098 nt
Filed under: Bemisia tabaci
Lineage: Eukaryota; Metazoa; Arthropoda; Insecta; Hemiptera; Aleyrodidae
Description: lncRNA ENSSSA1UGG008731
Source: RNAcentral